This is a long non-coding RNA of Monopterus albus (swamp eel), 1164 nucleotides long. RefSeq lists it as uncharacterized. The record is from RefSeq and is a predicted model, not a curated record. The transcript is spliced from 3 exons. Lineage: Eukaryota; Metazoa; Chordata; Actinopteri; Synbranchiformes; Synbranchidae.
UGUGUUGUAACCGGGACCAUAAAUAACUCACUGUCCCCCCUCGUGGGCCCAUGGCUGUUGGUUUGGUCCUAAUCACUACACCUCUGUGACAGACCCAGAUGGCAAAGGGUGGGGGGGUAAUAAAGGUUAGGCUCCAUAGGAACAAGCCAGAUCGAGGGUAUCACGGUUAAAACAACAGCUAGAGUCCGAGCAGGACAUGAUUUCACCUCCGGCACAUGACCUGCUCACAGCGCCCGCUGCUGCACACCUUCACCACAUUGAAUUGCACAGCACUGAAUUUGUUUGGUUUAUGAUGGGAAACGUGGAAAUGGAUUGAAGAGACAGACAAGAUAAACACUGGCCUAACAAUAAGCUGUUGCUAAGGGGAAGCCAAUGACACUUGCAGCAGCUUGCAUGCAAACUCCCCCGUGGCCACUCCAGACAGGAAAAUCCCUCCUCCUUCUUGCCCUGGAUGAGACAGCGAAGCGUUUGGUUCAGGCCACAGCUCGCACUGCCACCCCAGGCCCUGUCUGGCCACUGCACGACAACUUUUAAUUGGUGACUCACGAGACAAAACCCAGCAGAGCACACUGUGACAGUCAAGUUUCUUUUCAGUGGACUGACAGUUAUUUGUGGAUUUUGAAUUUAUUGUCUGAUUAUAGAUCUGCAGCACCAUAAAACUGUUUUGUUUAUUUCAUAUUAUAUUAUUAGCCAGAAAUGAGCUGGUCACUUAACUUUAUGAGAAAUUGAGGCAUUAUCAAAAAACUUAAAUGCUAUUAUGGGGUGAAAUACUGAAGACAAUAUGCUUAUAUGUGUUUAUGUCUUUUCACUUUUCCCUGUGUAAAUAUGCUUUCAAGGACUUGCUUGUUUGUACCUGCUGUGUCAUUCUGCUCGUCCACCCAGCAUGACACCCUGUAUCCCAGGAUCAGCCCCUCUGAGAUCAAAAGACCUUGUUGAUUCUUAUCAGAUAAUAUUCUUGUCCACCUCCCCUCCCCUUUGAGUCCAGUGUCCUCACACUGUUGACCUGAACCAUGCACACUGUUCCUUUUGGCCCCUUGGUCUUUCCUCCUCUUAUCACCAUGAUGGUCAGGCCUUGAUAAGGCAGGUCCAGCCUCAGGACAGAGGUCCACUUUUCUAAACCUCCACAGCUGCUUAACUUGGACACUCAGCUCCGUUUGUGUGGUA